CUAAGUUUGAUGGCGACCGGCGCACGGGUGAGUAACACGUAUCCAACCUGCCGAUGACUCGGGGAUAGCCUUUCGAAAGAAAGAUUAAUACCCGAUGGCAUAGUUCUUCCGCAUGGUAGAACUAUUAAAGAAUUUCGGUCAUCGAUGGGGAUGCGUUCCAUUAGGUUGUUGGCGGGGGUAACGGCCCACCAAGCCUUCGAUGGAUAGGGGUUCUGAGAGGAAGGUCCCCCACAUUGGAACUGAGACACGGUCCAAACUCCUACGGGAGGCAGCAUG
This 276-nucleotide ribosomal RNA is filed under the name uncultured bacterium. RNAcentral describes it as "partial 16S ribosomal RNA". It matches the Rfam family "Bacterial small subunit ribosomal RNA", at positions 79 to 353 of the family's 1533-position model. The record is from RNAcentral.